UACAAAGGAGACUAGUGUUAAUCAUCUUUAUUAGGUUUAAAGGGUACCUAGACAGCAUUAUGAGCCUUACUUUAAGGGACUAUUUUGCUAGAGUUUUAUAUACAGGAGGAUAUUUGUAGUAUUGAAGGUGUAGAGAUAAAAUUUGUUGAUAUCUUCAGGACGGAUAAAGGUGAAAACAAACCUCUAUGUAUAAACAGACGUUGAGGGACGAAGGCAUUGUGUAACGAACAGGAUUAGAACCGUACCCUCGAGAGC
RNAcentral lists this ribosomal RNA (255 nucleotides) under uncultured bacterium. RNAcentral describes it as "partial 16S ribosomal RNA". It matches the Rfam family "Bacterial small subunit ribosomal RNA", at positions 524 to 794 of the family's 1533-position model. The record is from RNAcentral.